AUUGAACGCUGGCGGCAGGCCUAACACAUGCAAGUCGAACGAGCGGCGGACGGGUGAGUAAUGUAUGGGAAACUGCCUGAUGGAGGGGGAUAACUACUGGAAACGGUAGCUAAUACCGCAUACCAUCGGAUGAGCCCAGAUGGGAUUAGCUAGUAGGUGGGGUAAAGGCCCACCUAGGCGACGAUCCCUAGCUGGUCCGAGAGGAUGACCAGCCACCCUGGAACUGGGACACGGUCCAGACGCCUACGGGAGGCAGCCGUGGGGAAUAUUGCACAAUGGGCGCAAGCCUGAUGCAGCCAUGCCGCGUGUAUGAAGAAGGCCUUCGGGUUGUAAAGUACUUUCAGCGGGAAGGCGUUACCCGCAGAAGAAUCACCGGCUAACUCCGGGCCAGCAGCCGCGGUAAUUC
This 406-nucleotide ribosomal RNA is filed under the name uncultured bacterium. RNAcentral's name for it is "partial 16S ribosomal RNA". It matches the Rfam family "Bacterial small subunit ribosomal RNA", at positions 30 to 526 of the family's 1533-position model. The record is from RNAcentral.